Macrobrachium nipponense is the source of this 4802-nucleotide long non-coding RNA. RefSeq lists it as uncharacterized. The record is from RefSeq and is a predicted model, not a curated record. NCBI's taxonomy places the organism in Eukaryota, Metazoa, Arthropoda, Malacostraca, Decapoda, Palaemonidae. The transcript has 2 exons.
UAAUGAGCUCCGAUGCUCACACGUUUGUUAUGAUUCGAUCGUAUCCGCCUUUAUCUAUACGCGCGUUCUUCAAUGUAGGCUAAACCAAAUAAACUCAUGCAACGAAAAUGUUGCCUUAUUAACGCCCUUCAUUCGCGGAACUUGGCGACAAAGGAUGGGUUUAUAUCUCCAAUACUAACAUACCAUAAGUUCUCUACCUGCAGGCACAGGUAAGAGUGAAGAAUUUUUGUGUGUGAUACCGCCUAUGAACUGGAGCCACAUACAACAGUUGCGACUCGGCAGCCGAACGGAGCCUAGCCUACGCCUAACCUAUAGGCUAAGCCUAAGAAGCGGAAGACGACAACCCUCAUCCGACGAAGUCUACCUGAAAACGAAGGCAAUCUCUACUACAUGCUCUCAUCACCCUCGAACCAGCAUUCUCCAAGCUCGUCGCCAAUUUGGGAGCGACUAAAUAGGUUAAAAGAGUAAAAGUGCUCAAGGUAGGUCUAUGCAAAUAGUAUAGUAGCCUACAUUUGGCCUCAAGGUAGGUCUGUGAAAGUAGCCUAUAGCCUAGGUUGUAGUUGCGAGUGUAAGCAACAAUAUAAGUUUAGCCUAGCUAGAUAACUUCCAAGAGCCUUGGUCUAAUCUCCCUCUAAUGACCUAAAAUACUUCCAAAAUUCCUAGCUUAACCCAAACUUCUUAGUAUCUCGCAGCAAACAUGUCAAUAAAUAUCAGAAGUUUAGAAUGCUUUAGAAUCGAUGAUGAUCCUAAAUCAGUGGGUACCAGAUGGAAGAGGUGGAUAGGCAGCUUCCAGAUUUAUCUAGAAGCACUAGGGAAAAUGAAUGAAAAGCAGCAGAAGGCAUUGUUACUUCGUACUGCAGGUCGAGAAGUUCAGGAAGUAUAUAAUAAUUUGAAUCUAACAGAUAAUUCAUUGCAGGACACAAUUGAAGGGCUCACCAAAUAUUAUGCUCCGCAAGCCAGUAAAUACUUAGAUCGUAUUCAGUUCACCCAAGCAUCACAAGGAUCAGGCGAGACAAUUCAUUUUUUUGUGACUAGAUUAAUAAAAUUAGCUGCAACUUGUGAAUUUUUAGAUGUAGAAGACAGGUUAAUAGAGCAAGUUAUAGUAGGGAGUAACUCACAAGAGCUUAGAAAGGAAUUGCUACAAGAACAGAAGCUAACCUUGCAAAGGGUUCUGGAAAUAGCAAGAGUAUUAGAAACAGCCAGUCAAAUGUCAUGGUAGAUGAGGCUCAAUGACAGCAGUAGCCACUAGCCAGGCAAAUCAUGUAGCCUAUAGAAAACAAGGUCAAUCUAAGCAAUAGUGGCACGUCAGGUAUUUCCUGUUUGGUUGCUAAUGUUGAGAAUUUAAUGUUGAUUUUUGGCGGUCGAACACGAGUUAGAAGGGGCAAACACAUCAAACAAGCCUAGCCCUGGUAUAUCCAAGUAUAACAAUGGUAUACUUACUGCAUACUCUCAGAAGAAUUAUUUACAUAGGCACACGAAAACCUUAAAAGAAAUCGUACUGUAGAUGUGGUAAACAAGAUCAUUAUAGCAUUAUUGGGAUAAAGUGCCCAGUGUCAGGUCAGACGUGCAAUAACUGCAGAGAACUGGGACAAUCACCAGGCUAAUGUAAGUUUCAUAAGCAAAAGACCACUAAACAUCAGUAGAACCGUAAAUUUAAAUGACGGCUCUAGCUCUAAUGAAAAACAAGUACACAAAACGACAGAAGUAGGAGAAUUUGCAUGCCACAUUAAUUCAGUGAAUGUAGAUGAACAAAAGCAUCGUAUGGAACAAAUAGAAAUGGGAAACUCACACCCAUGCAAAUGGACACAGCUGAAGAGUUGCACAAACUCUGCUUAACCUGGUAAAGAACCUCAGACAAGAUGAUCAAAAGUUACAAUGGUACAAACAUAGUAGUAGUUGGUCCAUAACAAGUUAAGUGCAUUUCAAUGAUCAAGAAAUUGACCAGUUACCAUUGACAGUAGUCAAAGGUAAAGGACCAAGUUUAUUAGGACUAGAUUGGUAAAGACAUAAAAUUAGACUGGCCUAGUAUUUUAAGGGUUACAGGGAAAUAAGAACCAGAAGAAGAAAUUUCAAUAACUAAUCUUCUAUCAGAUUACCAAGAAGUCUUUGAAGACAAGAGCAGGAACAGUAAAGAAUGCACAAGCAGUCUAAGGUUUAAAGUUGAAUGAAGCAGGUCCUAGAUUUUUAGCUACAAGACCAGUUCCAUAUGCAUCGAAAACAGCUGUAGAAGCUGAAAUUUGAAAGUGAAGGUUCUGUUGUUAAGGACAACACUCAAGUUAGGUUAUGGGAAAGUUACAAGGUGACACUAAAUUCACAAUUGCAAGUAGCACACAUCCUUAAAAGAUUCCAAAGACAUAUCAGUGCCUCAGUGGCCAGGUUGGUUUGGUGUUUGCUUCUCACCAGUGAGGAGUGAAGAGUGAGAGAGAUGUAUUUCUGGUGAUAGAAGUACACUCUCGACGUGGUUCGGAAGUCACGUAAAGCCGUUGGUGCCGUUGCUGAAUAACCACUGGUUCCAUGCAACGUAAAAACACCGUACAAACAAACAAACAAACCAAAGACAUAUCUGCAACUUUUUAAGGAAGCUCAGUAUUUUCCAAGCUAAAUCUUAGACAAGCAUUUCAACAGCUUUCCAUGGAUGAAAUUCCCAAAAGCGAUGUACUGUAAACACAUUCAGGGUUGUAUCGUCCAAACGGACUUUCCUAUGGUGUUGCUAGCAGUCCACUAAAAUGGCAGCAAACAAUGGACAAAAUAUUUACAGGUAUGUUAGGAGUAUUCAUUUUAUUGAAGGCAUUAGUCAGAUCAAAGUUGAUUGCUAGAAUUUAUGUUUGGUGGCCAGGUGUUGAUAGGGGCAUUGAUAAUUUGUUAGGUGUAUGAGUUGUGUAUUGCAACAACAUAAUACAGAACCAACAAAAAUGCACUCGAGGAAAUUACCCAGAUAUCAUGGAAAAGUUGACCCAUAGAUUUUGUAGGUCCAUUUUUAGAAUAUUUGAUAUUAGUAGACGCAUAUAGUAAUACCAAUGCAAUAAUCAUCGGAAAUAACUAAGAUCACUUAUGCAAAUCGUGCCAUUUUGUUUGCCCGAAAGAAUAGUGACAAGACAAUGGUCCACAGGUUACUUGGCUGUAACGUCAUAUUUAUUGAUGGGGAGGAGGGUCAGGAAUAAGUUCGAUCUAAUGAAUCGAAGAUUGCAGUCAGUCAGAACAAAGGUUAUGAUCGAACAAAGGUUAUGAUCAAGUAAAAAAAACUUCAAGGUAAAACAUUUCACUCCAAGUUAUGCAAUGGUAAGAUCAUACAAUACACCAGAAAAUGCGUAUCAUAAGGAGAAACUCGGGAAGAUAGGUAUUAAUUAACUCGGGUGCAAACCGGUCACCAAGAUGUUGGAUCACCAACUGUAUGGGGGAAAAUCAGGCAACAGCUCAGAAUGAGUAGAUGAAACCCUACUGAAAGAUUAUUCUUAAUCACAAUCACAUGUAAAGGGGGAGACUUGUGUACGUUAAGAUACUGCUGUAACGAGUGUGGCAAACUUCAGUUCCGUAGACAAGCUCAAUUCAGAGAUAUUUUGCUUGCAUUGCAUAAUGCUUAGUUGUUAAAAUGUAACCAAUUAUUAUUGUAUUAGCAUUGGGUCCGACACAGGUUGCGAUCCUGUAAAUUCUACAUCGUGUACUAUGUUGGAUAUGAAUCAUAGGAUUCCUUUGUUACAGACUCAGAGAUCUCAGAGACAAUGUUACGGUGUCGAAAUAUCCUGGAAAGGGUCGACACAAUGUUACGGCCUCUGAAAGAGGUCGGCUUCAGGUUCGAUAUUAAAUAAUAAUAUAAAAGGUAUAUCAACACCAACAGUUGAAACGGGUUACAAAUAUAGAAAGAAACACUAACACAACAAAGGUUUAUUUACAAGCUUACUAACAAAGGUAAAUGCAGAAUGGUAUCUCCUAUUUACAUAAAAAGACAGAAUCUUACACUGCAUGAACUGGGGGAAACAGUGAGGUAAUUCGAAUACCUGCUAAUCAGUUUGGAGAUUCGACGCGCUGGCUUCAUAAAUGUAGAGCGGCAAUUGCAGUCAUCCUCUUGACUCCGUCCGUAUUGCAGAAACUAGUCUACUUGAAAGGCAGGAAAUACCCAAAACCUCUAGCAGGACCUUUUCUUCUCUGCAGUCUGCUCGACGUCGAGAUAACAAGAGAUAAUUCGUCCACUCCUGAAGACGACUAGACCAAUAUCCAACCAACUCCCGAACAACUCUUCUUUUGAUUGAUACUUCGUCGGUUCCUUCGUCUCUAGUCUCUCUCUGACGAUCACUGCUGCUGAUCUCUCACUGAUAAUCUGAUCUGUGGCUCUUACUAACUGGUGAUCCCUCUCUUUUACGAUCACUAUAUCUCCUCCUCCCGCUGCUACUUCCUCCGUCGUAUUUAUACGGCAUCCUGGGGGCAGAGCCUACAGGGAGCGUCACAGACUCCCGAGGUUUCUAGACAUUCUUAGAUGAAUCUAGACUAGGUAUUGCAUCAGAAAUCGCGGCGUUUCUCACGUCCCGAGGAGAUCCACAACACUCCUACCGAUUCUAGAACCAUCAUGAUAACAGGCACCUCCAACACAUUGCGCUAACGCCUCCUUGCUGCCGAACUUCUCGAAAAAGCGUUCUCCUUUCCUUUAACUUCCUUUGCUAUGAAGCAAUUACCAUCACAUCCUUAUUGUGUACUGAGCUCCGAAGCUCACGUGUAUGUUAUGACGCGAUUGUAUAUGCCUUUUGUAUUUUGUAUCUUCUACUAUGGACCUUCAAUGUAAACUAAACCAAAUAAAGUCGAGCAAGGAA